CUCUUUUCCGGGAACUAGGAUGCUCGCGGUGGUGUCCGGGAACGGCACCCCCAAACCUGAUUUUUGAAACCAGGCAAUCAGUCACUGGGCUUGCUCAUACUAAUUGCCACAGUGUCGCUGGUAUUUCACUGCCUCCAGCUGACGCGACUUUUU
RNAcentral lists this small nuclear RNA (153 nucleotides) under Pyrenophora teres f. teres 0-1. Its description in RNAcentral is "U2 spliceosomal RNA". It matches the Rfam family "U2 spliceosomal RNA". Rfam says of the family: U2 is a small nuclear RNA (snRNA) component of the spliceosome (involved in pre-mRNA splicing). Complementary binding between U2 snRNA (in an area lying towards the 5' end but 3' to hairpin I) and the branchpoint sequence (BPS) of the intron results the bulging out of an unpaired adenosine, on the BPS, which initiates a nucleophilic attack at the intronic 5' splice site, thus starting the first of two transesterification reactions that mediate splicing. Lineage: Eukaryota; Fungi; Ascomycota; Dothideomycetes; Pleosporales; Pleosporaceae. The record is from Rfam by way of RNAcentral.